GGAGUGAAGCAGAACCCGGUUACACAAGAGCCUGUGGCGCCAAGUGUCCGAGGUCGCUGACAUCUACCAAACUCCGAAAACAUGCUGCAACACUGUCAACUGUCUUGAAUAUGACUAAUACAGAAAUGGAUCAACUGGCAACCUUUCUGGGGCAUGACAUUCGAAUUCAUCGUGAGUUCUACAGACUUCCAGAGAAGACCCUACAACUUGCCAAGAUCAGCAAAGUUUUGAUGGCCUUAGAAAAUGGAAGAUUGGCAGAGUUUCAUGGCAAGAACUUGGAUGAAAUUCAGAUCGACCCGGAUGGUAUGUUUAUCUGUCCUUUUUUCUGUGUAUCAUUUGCAGCUUUAAAAACUGUACUGAACAUUUAAUACAGGCUAUAGAGACUUUAGCUGGUCAAAUCGCUUCCCAAAAGCUGUUUUCACUCUGUUCUAAACAUCACCUUGUCCGGGCUGCAGUCUCACCACUUGAAGUUUGGACAGGAAUGUUUCCUCCACACGCACAAAUGUCAAGCUCGCAACGAGCCAAGUUCCACAUCACAAUGAAUUAGACAUCUUCUCCAAUGCAGUUCAGAGGGCUAUGAGUUAAUUAUUAUGAAUGAUUGGUUAAAAUGUAUUUCAGAACUUGACCAGACUCCUAACCUGUCCACUCAUCUAAGAAAAGUUCUAACUGCAAAAUAACAACAAAAACUGCCCAGUUGUUAGAUGAUUCGCCAAAUCUGGCAAAACUGAUUUAAUCAAUCCUUCAAUUUUUGUGGGUAAAACAGAAAACAUAAACUCUGAUGAUAAACGAUGACAACAAUGGUGUGGAUGAGGAAAUCUCUAAUGCUAUUGGUAAGAUUUUUUGAAAAGUUACAAUACAAUAUAAGGUAUUUUAGAGCAAGUUGUUAGUUUUCCUUCACUUUAUGUAUAACCUGGCUUAAGCACACAGUUGACUUGUUUGUAACUAAAUGGAAAGAUCAAGGUUCUUAUAGAAUGUCCUAACUCUUAAGAGUAUGAAUAUAUUUCUAAAAUUGAUUUUUCUUUUAACAAAUCUUUAUUUUAUUUUCCUUAAGUACAACACAAGAUCUGAAUUGUUGUAUUCACAGUAAAUGUUAACAUAAAAAACAUGCUACUCUAAUUUUUGUAGAACCAUCAGAAGUGGAAACCCUUCCUGUUGGGAAUCUGGGGUCCUUGUGGGUUUUCUGGUGUGGUUCCAAUAUUCCUCCACCAGGUAGCGGCAGAGGCUGCUCCUCCUGGCGGGGAGUGCCGGUCUCAUACCCACCGGUAUCUCAUCUUCUCAUCAUCUCGGGAGUUCAAGAGGAGCUGACUGCCAGUUCUCCGACGCCUGAGUGUUUGCCAGCAAUGGUGUUUUCAGCCAGACGCUGAGUUUCCUCCGUGAGAGGUUUGUUUUCCCCGGUUUCCUGGAACCUACCCCCCUCGUGACGCCGUGGAUGCUACCCACUGGUUGCUCAAGCCCCUUCUUGGUGUUCAUCAGUUGGACCAAGCCGUUUCCUGAGGACCCCGACGCGCAGUCGAACCGCUCCUCUGUCUCCCACCGCCAGAACUUACCUGUCCGCCCUCCACUGCAGCCUCUUCCGCUCCUUCAGGACUAGCUCAUCCGAGCUAACUGUUGAGAAGACCCCUCUGUCAGAUCGGAACCCUACCCAGCAAAAAGUCCCUCCCGGAUCAGAACCGAAAAUACCACAAUGAGCCGCCUUCUCCCAGAGCCGCUUCCGGAGUACUGUGUUCCUUCAGACAAAUAUUACCUGAAUCCGCAAUAAAAUACCUUUACUGAUUAUUUGUCUCCUCUGUGGUGUUCUGCAUGUGGGCAAGAAGAUUAGACCCCAACAUGAGACUUCCUCAAAAUAGAAACGAAAUGACACCACCAUCAUCCAGGAAACGUAAACGACCACCAUCAUCAUCCCCAACAGAUGAUGAUCAAGAGGAGAUACCAUUGAAAGGCAGCACCACAAGACCUUGAUCAAAAAGUAAAUUUGUACAACCCUUGUGUGCAUAGACUCAGUCCACAACUCAUUGAGUAUUUGGAGUGGGCCUUAGACUCACUUUCUAGUUACCAUGUUGUGUGCUCUUCCUCGCCCCUCACACCUGCAACCUCCUAGUCAACAACCCGGUCUGUCACUCUCGGUCCUCCCUUUAAAUUCCUUUACUUCCCUGUUCGAUCCUGCUGACGUGUUUGUUUAUUUUUUGUUUGACUCUGGCUCCAUGUGUUUCCUGUGUUUUUAUGUGUCUUUUCAUCUUUAAAAAAUUUCACUGUCAUGAGUUCUAUCGCCUCAGAGCAGCAGCUUUUAACUAGUCCACAGUUCGUACACCAACCUUCAUUAACGUACAUACAGAAUCCUCCUCCCCGUGGUUUUCCUGACCGUUGGUCGCGGUCCACUCUGAAUAACUGAAGAUCGUUGAUCUGGAAGGCUGAGUCUGGCAUGGUGCUGUUAAGCCAGGUUUCCGUUAGGCAAAGAAAAGCACAGUUCUUCAUCUCUGCAGUAACUCUCAGCCUCAGAUGUAACAAAUCUACGUUGUUAUCCAGUGAGUGGACAUUGGCCAGAAACAGAGUCGGAAUAAGUGGCUUCCUAGCCUUCAGCUGGGCCAACGUACCCGCCCGCUUCCCUCUCUUCUGUUUCCGUUCCGGGCACGUUUCCUUUCGAACCGUUACUCCUUGUUCCCCGCUGUGCCAGACCAUUGUCCUGAGGAGCCGCUGUCUCCCAAGUGCGAAUUUCAGCCUCAGUGAUAAAUCAACAGCCGAACUGUCUUCAAUUGCCAUCAGUUCGGCCGAGCUGCCCUUACAAAAAAAUCACGUGGUUCACACAAAUUUUUACAUGUGAAUGAUGUGUGAAAGAUGUGAAUCACAUGUGAAAGCACAUGUAUUUGUGUGAUUUUGGAACGUUUCGUGGUAAAAUCACAUGUGACUCACAUGUGAAUUACACAUUUCCACAUGUGAUUCACACAUUUCCACAUGUUUAAAUAUGUGAUAUACAUAUAUACAAUUAUAAAAUAAUGGCACCACCUUUUUUCUUUUAGCAUGAAAUGUCCAGUUGUUCUGAUGUGUUGCCCCAUUCAUUCCUCAUCUGAGCUUCACUGGACCACUGGCCUUGAACGAAAUGUAAAAAUUAAUAAAACAAAGCUCUUAUGAUCUUGACA
Molecule: long non-coding RNA, 3134 nt
Organism: Xiphophorus hellerii (green swordtail)
Lineage: Eukaryota; Metazoa; Chordata; Actinopteri; Cyprinodontiformes; Poeciliidae
Exons: 3
Source: RefSeq, a predicted model, not a curated record